This 422-nucleotide ribosomal RNA is filed under the name uncultured bacterium. RNAcentral describes it as "bacterial SSU rRNA". It matches the Rfam family "Bacterial small subunit ribosomal RNA", at positions 355 to 774 of the family's 1533-position model. The record is from RNAcentral.
UGAGGAAUAUUGGGCAAUGGACGAAAGUCUGACCCAGCCAUGCCGCGUGCAGGAUGACGGCCCUACGGGUUGUAAACUGCUUUUGUACAGGAAGAACUAUCCCGAUGUAUCGGGAUUUGACUGUACUGUACGAAUAAGCAUCGGCUAACUCCGUGCCAGCAGCCGCGGUAAUACGGAGGAUGCAAGCGUUAUCCGGAUUUAUUGGGUUUAAAGGGUGCGUAGGCGGGGUAGUAAGUCAGUGGUGAAAUCUUCCGGCUUAACCGGGAAACUGCCAUUGAUACUGCUUUCCUUGAGUGCAGCUGAGGUGGGCGGAAUGUGUAAUGUAGCGGUGAAAUGCUUAGAUAUUACACAGAACACCGAUUGCGUAGGCAGCUCACUAAACUGUAACUGACGCUGAGGCACGAAAGCGUGGGGAGCGAACA